Molecule: non-coding RNA, 24 nt
Filed under: Cricetulus griseus (Chinese hamster)
Lineage: Eukaryota; Metazoa; Chordata; Mammalia; Rodentia; Cricetidae
Source: RNAcentral
UUUAUCGAAUCUGUUAUCUGUAGA